CCUACGGGAGGCAGCAGUAGGGAAUCUUCCACAAUGGGCGAAAGCCUGAUGGAGCAACGCCGCGUGGGUGAAGAAGGUCUUCGGAUCGUAAAACUCUGUUGUUAGAGAAGAAAGUGCGUGAGCGUAACUGUUCACGUUUCGACGGUAUCUAACCAGAAAGCCACGGCUAACUACGUGCCAGCAGCUGCGGUAAUACGUAGGUGGCAAGCGUUAUCCGGAUUUAUUGGGCGUAAAGGGAACGCAGGCGGUCUUUUAAGUCUGAUGUGAAAGCCUUCGGCUUAACCGGAGUAGUGCAUUGGAAACGGGGAGACUUGAGUGCAGAAGAGGAGAGUGGAACUCCAGGUGUAGCGGUGAAAUGCGUAGAUAGAUGGAAGAACACCAGUGGCGAAAGCGGCUCUCUGGUCUGUAACUGACGCUGAGGUUCGAAAGCGUGGGUAGCAAACAGGAUUAGAUACCCCAGUAGUC
Molecule: ribosomal RNA, 465 nt
Filed under: uncultured bacterium
Lineage: Bacteria
Description: partial 16S ribosomal RNA
Rfam family: Bacterial small subunit ribosomal RNA
Source: RNAcentral